This is a non-coding RNA of Chlorocebus sabaeus (green monkey), 7609 nucleotides long. The record is from RefSeq and is a predicted model, not a curated record. Lineage: Eukaryota; Metazoa; Chordata; Mammalia; Primates; Cercopithecidae.
UGGAGAACCUUCUCAGCUAACAUUUGCCACUUGUGGAAUGUAUUCCAUGUACUGAGUGCUUAUUAACUUUUCUCUCAGUCCCUCACUGCUGCUCUUCUCGCCUCAUCUCAUCUAAGGGAAAACUCAGGCUCCAAAAGCAAACUGAUUCCAUCAAGAUAACAAUGUAACUGGGACCUGGGGUCCAAGCCUGGUUCUCGCACAAGGUAGAUACUCCCUGAGAUGCUGGGGAAGAGCCAUGGUAGGGCCACUCAUUGCCCUCUUCCCUGGGUGGACCUUGGACAUCCACCUUCCCUGCGUUAAAGUGCUCCACUAGGUGACGUCGGAAGACAAGUACAUGUGAAAUCCUGUGGCUGACCACAGACAGGCGAGCAGUAAGGAAAAGCUCGCCGCUUCCUUCCUCAACCCUGCGCCGGCUGCGUCAGUGGCCUUUCAUCCGCACUCAAAAUGGCGGCGGCGGCGUCAGCGUCAGCGGUCUCCUGCCCGUAUCUAUCGUGGCGGCGACGGGACCCGCCUCCCUGGGCGCCGGAGUCAUGUGACCCACACAAUGGCUGAGUGGCUACUCUCGGCUUCCCAGCAACGCCGAGUGAAAGCCAUGACGGCCGCCGCCGGUUCAGCGGGCCGCGCCGCGGUGCCCUUCCUGCUGUGUGCGCUGCUGGCGCCCGGCGGCGCGUACGUGCUUGACGACUCCGACGGGCUGGGCCGGGAGUUCGACGGCAUCGGCGCGGUCAGCGGCGGCGGGGCAACCUCCAGACUUCUAGUAAAUUACCCAGAACCCUAUCGUUCUCAGAUACUGGAUUAUCUCUUUAAGCCGAAUUUUGGUGCCUCUUUGCAUAUUCUAAAAGUGGAAAUAGGUGGUGAUGGGCAGACAACAGAUGGCACUGAGCCCUCCCACAUGCACUAUGCACUAGAUGAGAAUUAUUUUCGAGGAUAUGAGUGGUGGUUAAUGAAGGAAGCUAAGAAGAGGAAUCCCAAUAUUACACUCAUUGGGUUGCCAUGGUCAUUCCCUGGAUGGCUGGGAAAAGGUUUUGACUGGCCUUAUGUCAAUCUUCAGCUGACUGCCUAUUAUGUCGUGACCUGGAUUGUGGGUGCCAAGCGUUAUCAUGAUUUGGACAUUGAUUAUAUUGGAAUUUGGAAUGAGAGGUCAUAUAAUGCCAAUUAUAUUAAGAUAUUAAGAAAAAUGCUGAACUCUCAAGGACUCCAGCGAGUGAAAAUCAUAGCAAGUGAUAAUCUCUGGGAGUCCAUCUCUGCGGCCAUGCUACUUGAUGCCGAACUCUUCAAGGUGGUUGAUGUUAUAGGGGCUCAUUAUCCUGGAACCCAUUCAGUAAGAGAUGCAAGGUUGACUGGGAAGAAGCUUUGGUCUUCUGAAGACUUUAGCACUUUAAAUAGUGACACGGGUGCAGGCUGCUGGGGUCGCAUUUUAAAUCAGAAUUAUGUCAAUGGCUAUAUGACUUCCACAAUCGCAUGGAAUUUAGUGGCUAGUUACUAUGAACAGUUGCCUUAUGGGAGAUGCGGGUUGAUGACAGCCCAGGAGCCAUGGAGUGGUCACUACGUGGUAGAAUCUCCUGUCUGGGUGUCAGCUCAUACCACUCAGUUUACUCAACCUGGCUGGUAUUACCUGAAGACAGUUGGCCAUUUAGAGAAAGGAGGAAGCUAUGUAGCUCUGACUGAUGGCUUAGGGAACCUCACCAUCAUCAUUGAAACCAUGAGUCAUAAACAUUCUAAGUGCAUACGGCCAUUUCUUCCUUAUUUCAAUGUGUCACAACAAUUUGCUACCUUUGUUCUUAAGGGAUCUUUUAGUGAAAUACCAGAGCUACAGGUGUGGUAUACCAAACUUGGAAAAACAUCCGAAAGAUUUCUUUUUAAGCAGCUGGAUUCUCUAUGGCUCCUCGACAGCAAUGGCAGUUUCACACUGAAACUGCAAGAAGAUGAGCUGUUCACACUCACCACUCUCACCACUGGUCGCAAAGGCAGCUACCUGCCUCCUCCAAAAUCCCAGCGCUUCCCGAGUACCUAUAAGGAUGAUUUCAAUGUUGAUUACCCAUUUUUUAGUGAAGCUCCAAACUUUGCUGAUCAAACUGGUGUAUUUGAAUAUUUUACAAAUAUGGAAGACCCUGGUGAGCAUCACUUCACGCUACGCCAAGUUCUCAACCAGAGACCCAUUACGUGGGCUGCCGAUGCAUCCAACACAAUCAGUAUUAUAGGAGACUACAACUGGACGAAUCUGACUAUAAAAUGUGAUGUUUACAUAGAGACCCCUGACACAGGAGGUGUGUUCAUUGCAGGAAGAGUAAAUAAAGGUGGUAUUUUGAUUAGAAGUGCCAGAGGAAUUUUCUUCUGGAUUUUUGCAAAUGGAUCUUACAGGGUUACAGGGGAUUUAGCUGGAUGGAUUAUAUAUGCUUUAGGACAUGUUGAAGUUACAGCAAAAAAAUGGUAUACACUCACAUUAACUAUUAAGGGUCGUUUUGCCUCUGGCAUGCUGAAUGACAAGUCUCUGUGGACAGACAUCCCUGUGAAUUUUCCGAAGAAUGGCUGGGCUGCAAUUGGAACUCACUCCUUUGAAUUUGCACAGUUUGACAACUUUCAUGUGGAAGCCACACGCUAAUACUUACAGGGCAUCAUAGAAUACUCUGGAUUUUCUUCCCUUCUUUUUGGUUUUGGUUCAGAGCCAAUUCUUGUUUCAUUGGAACAGUAUAUGAGCCUUUCGAGGCUAAAAAUAAUGAAGAGUAAAUGGGGAGAGAAAUUUAUUUUUAAUUUAUCCUGGAAGAUUUUGUUAGAAUUAAUUUCAAGGGGAAAACUGGUGAAUCUUUAACAUUACCUGGUGUGUUCAAACUGUGCAUUGGCCCUGCCCUUAGGAGUGGUUUGAGUAGUACAGACCUCGAAGCCUUGCUGCUAACACUAAGGUAGCUCUCUUCAUCUUACUUGCAAGCGGUCCUGCACAUGGCAGUAACUUGAUCAUCAUGGAGAUGUAUUUAUGCAUGCUGACCGUGUGUCCAAAUGAGCCAGUGUCUUCAGCACAAGAUGAUGCUGCCAUAAUAGAAAGCUGAAGAACACUGGAAGUAGCUUUUUGAAAACCACUUCAACCUGUUAUGUUUUAUGCUCUAAAAAGUAUUUUUUAAUUUUCCUUUUUAAGAUAAUACUUUUGAAAUGCAGGAUAUCAUGAGUGGAAUGAUUGAAAAAAUGCCUCUUUAAUAAACUACCUCUAACGCUAUUUCUGCAGUAAUAGAUAUUAUCAGAUUAAUUGGGUUAUUUGCAUUAUUUAAUUCUUUUGAUUCCAAGUUUUGGUCUUCUAACCACUAUAACUCUCUGUGAACAUUUUUCCAGGUGGCUGGAAGAAGGAAGAAAACCUGAUCUAGCCAAUGCUGUUGUAGGCAUUUCCUCUGCCUCAUCUCACUGUGCUGUGGUCUGUCCUCACAUGUGGCACUGGUAACAGACUCACACAGCUGAUGAAUGAUUUCUCUCCUUAUGUGUGGAAGGAGGGGAGCACCUAGCCAUUUGCUAACUCCCAGAAUUGGAUCAUCUCCUAAGAUGACUUCAAGUACAAUGUUGAGAAGUGGUAAGAGCAGAUGUAUCAGCCUUGUUCCGCAUCUUAGGAAGCGUCUCUUUCACCAUUAAGUAUGAGGAAGCCGAGGCACUGAGAGGAGAAGUAACAAGCUCAAGGUCUCAAGUGCAGGUGGUUCCAAUGGAAAAACUUGAUGUGUGCUCUGAAGUGAUGUUACUCAUCCACUGCAUAACCAUCACCUAUAUCAAAGGAGAGCCUUUACGUACUGGCUAAUACAGUGUGUUAAAUUCACCCCAAACGAACUGGAUGCCAUUAAACCUUUAGAGCAAUGGGACUGUUCUUACAAGAUGGAAGGUCAGACUUCUGGAAGAGCAGUUCCCUUCUGCAGUGCUGCUUCUCUGUCUCACAAGGAAGAAAUGCGUAUUUGUCUCCAUCAAUCCUCAAGCACUUGCCAAAAUCCAGGUGUGUAGUUCCUCCAUAUCCAUUUCUUUUAUUUGACUUGCAUUGGGGGGAUAGGACAUGGCUAAAAGUAUUUUUAAGCAAUAACUCAAACUAUGUCAAUAGGAUAGUGUUUCAAAUUCAGGUGUCCUGCCUUUCAUGUGCUGUAAGCCUCUGGGAAGCCAAUACCAUGUCAAAGAAGUAUAAAAUUAUUUACUGGGUCCAUCGUGCAAUUUUGAGGAAGUCUGUGGCAUUUGCUCAUUGCAUUCUUUGAAGGCAUCACACAGUAGGUGCCAUAAAUAUAUCAAACAAAUUUCAGCAUUCACCUCUGCAUAAUCAACUAUCCAGCAUUUGAGAGUGUGCAGGAAACUUCCCUCUUGGGAGUUCCUUUGCCAGAUGAUUAUUUUGGUUAUGAUGUCAGAAAUAGGUGGGCAGGCGUGUCUAUCCCGGUAAUCAGCAGAGGCUCAAGUAUACGUGGUCGUUAACGUUCUUAGCUCUCUUGCAACCUUGACUUCCAGGGCUAAAGUGAUCCUCCCACCUCAGCCUCCUGAGUAGCUGAGACUACAGGCAUGUGUCACCAUGCCCAGCUAAUUUUUGCAUUUUUUGUAGACACAGGGUUUCACCAUGUUGCCCACCAUGUCCUGGGCUGAAGCGGUCCACUCGCCUUGGCCUCCCAAAGUGCUGGGAUUACAGGUGUGAGCCACCGUGCCCGGCUAAUUUGAAGCUUUUUAAGAAACAGAAUCUUAAAUGGAAGAUGAGUGGCCGUCAAAGAGAAGCAGUAAGCAUGGUGACACGUCAAAGAGAAGCAGCAGUAAGACUGGGCAGAUCCCCUAUGUAAAAUGCACUAGAAGAUUUCAAAAAUUUUUUAUUUGACUAUCUCUCUGAUGAUAAAAAAGGGAGACCUCAAAACUACACAUGAACAAAGUCAUGUUUGUGGAAGAACUUUGGAAUUUUAGUAACGAAUUAGGAGACUCCAUCAAUCUAGUUUUAUUGUUGGAAUAGCUCUUCACUCCCCAGUUGAUAAACCUACCUAAUGUGUCCUGUCUCUCUGGGGCCCAUCAGGAAACAGGAUUGCACUUGAAUCGACCUGCAAAUUGUUCCUCAGCUUGGCCUUGUAUGAGACUCAGAGUCCGAUCUGGUAGGCAUUUAUUCAGGGCUUGUGCUAGGCAUUCAGUUAUGUGUUCUUCUGAAAUAUUCCUCCUUUCCAGGCUUCUAUUGACCACACUAAAAGCAGCAUCUCUCACUGUGGAAGACAAGGGACAUUUUCUAACCUCUUCUCUGGAAUUACAUUAAUGGAAAGUAUUGUGUCUUAAAAAGUAAAACAAAAACAAAAACAAAACCCAAAGCCUUGUGAAAUUGUUAGACAAACACUGCUGUUUUGAAUAACUACUUAGAAGAACCAUAAUAAUUUGGCCAUCAUUAAUGUAGAAUCUACUCCAAGCCAGACUUGGGCUUGAUAAAUUACAUUCAUUAAUAACAAACGCUAGACUGCGUGAGCCAGGCUUGACCUCCCCCAAGAACACAUUAUUUAAAAAUUCAUUUGGCGUCUAUUUCCAUAUCAAUAAUCAAUGUGCUAUUUACUGAUCAUUUAAAUCUGAUUAUUAAAGCAGAUUCAGAAAGAAGGACAUUGGCUUGCUAAUUGGCAGUGAUUUUGUUUUAGCUAAAACAUGUAACAGUACUUAAAAAUCUAGUAUAUCUUUGAAUAUCUAACAAUUCAGGAUUCUAAAAAAAUGACUGAUCUUGGGCAGAAUUAAUUUAGCUAAUGAGAUUUUUCUGUAUUUUACUGUUGACAGCUUUCUUUUCAAACGCUUGAAUUUUACAUUUGGGAAUUUUAUUCUGAGAAAUAAAAACAGAUUAAAUAGGGGCUUUUGAAAAUAUUAACAAAUGACUACUCUAUGAGAGUUUAGUAAGGAGAGGUGAAGUUGCUUUGAGGUUCAUUUCUUCACCUUGGCUGGUAUCACAGGUGUGAUGAUUAAUUUUACGUGUCCAACUUGGGUGGGCCACAGUGCCCAGCUAUCUGGUUUAACAUUAUUCCGGGUGUUCCUAUGAAGGUGUUAUUGUGGGUGAGAUUAACGUUUAAAUUGGUGGACUUUGAGUAAAGCAGGUUACCCUCCAUCAUGUGAGUGGACCUCAUCAUCCCAUCAAUGGAGGGGCUUGAUAGAAUGAAUACUGAAGACUUGGCUCCCCUGUGCAGGAAGGAAUUCUGCCAGUAGGCUGCUUUUGGACUCAAACUGCAACGCUUCCUGGGUCUCCAGUCUGCUAGCCUACCCUGCAGAUUUUGAACUUGUACCCCUACAAUUGUGUGGGUCAAUUCCUUAAAACAAAUUUCUCUCUCCUUCCAUAUAUCCUGUUGGUUCUACUUGUCUGGAGAACCCUGACUAAUACAACAGGCUUCUCAGAAUAUUAACUGUUUGAGAAAGUACCUAGCACUGUGCGUGGCACAUUUUAGAAAACGAUUGUUUAAAGCUUUGGAAGUGCAGUGAGUUGGCCAGCUUUCAGGUCUGAUGCAGAAUGAUAUUUAAUGUAGUUUAUUCAUCUUUAUUAUCAGUUUGAUGUUUUAUAGAAUUUAGCACUAUGGUAAUGGUUACUAAACAUAUGCAAAAAUUUUGUAGAAUACCUGGACAAGAGAGGGCAAAACAGACCAAUGGCAUAAAAUCAGACAGAAAAUAAACUUCUAUUUUUUGGCAGGCUUCCAUUCACAGAAACGGUUUUAAGCGGUUUCUAAAUGUUAGGCUUAAACUAGCACAUAUGAAAAGUGGAAGAGAAUAACCUAUUGAAUUUAAAUAGGAGAAAAUGUUAAUUUCUUAUGUGUUUAAAGGAACUUUGAAGUGUUUAAACAAGCACAAUUGGUGCCUGCUGUAUAGUUCAGAUAAUAAGGGAAGUGCUGGUUUCUGCAAAAAAACUGAUAAAAUGUGUGAUAUUCAUUCUAUGAAAUAAUAUUUUUUCCUGCAAAAAAGUGAUGUAUAUAUGGGAAAAGACAGACAAUUUGAAGAGAUCAAGAAUCACUUUUAAAAGAUGAUUAUUUUCAACUUUUGAAAUAUUUUCUUUCAGUGUUUUAUUCUGUGCCUUUUCUUAGCAUUUGGUUUUUACAUCAUUGUAUUACGUUGUAAUACACAAAGUAAUUUGUAAUAAUUCUUUUUUCCUCUUUAUGUAAAGUGAGGAUUUAUUAAAAAUGUAUGAGAUGUGACCAAAUUGUCAAAGGAGAGGAGCUAACUUUCUUGGAAAUCAGGGGAAAAUGCUGUAAAAACUUAAAAAGAAAAUCUGUUAUUACUGCUAAAACAUUCUUUCCUUCCUGAUUGGAUGUUUGUGUCUCUGUGAAUGUGUCUGGAUUGUGAAAUCAUCACAGUGUUUCAAAGGUGAGCCGUCUAGGCUAAUGGUCACGUUCUGGAGCCAGACAGCCUGGUUCAAAUCCCGGCUCUGCUUUCUGCUUACUCAUGGAGUAAACUUGGGCAAGUUUCCUUAUCUGUAAAGAGGGAUUGAUAAGCCUUCUUCUCUCUUAGGACUAUUGUAAGGAUAACCCGGAAAAUGGAAAAAAAACACUUAGAACAGUGCUUAGCACAUCAUAAGCCCUCAAUCAAUGAUAGCAAUUUCUGGAGGACAUGAGACUGCUUCUAAAAUCACAUCAUUAGGUCAGGAGAUCGAGACUAUCCUGGCUAACACAGUGAAACCCCG